Non-coding RNA from Arachis ipaensis, 1770 nucleotides. The record is from RefSeq and is a predicted model, not a curated record. NCBI's taxonomy places the organism in Eukaryota, Viridiplantae, Streptophyta, Magnoliopsida, Fabales, Fabaceae.
UGAUACAGGAAAUGGACACCUUCCCUAUAAAUAUGAUCAGUUUAUGUUACUCUUCCCUAAACCAGUUCAAUCGUGUUAACUUUGCAAACAAUAGUACACACCACACAGUGGAUCUUCAAAGACAGAAGAGAGAUGAUAUAGCAACAAAAUAAUAUAUUCCUUCAACCUUUGUUUCUUAUUCGCGUGCCUUUCAUUUGGGAGUAAGGGAAAGAAGAGAACUAACUAGCUAGCUACUAAUUUACAUGCAACUAAUUUUAAGCUUGAACGGCUGGUUAAGAAUUCGGUAUCCUGACGUGGUAAUAAGCAAAAGGUUCGAACUCAAAGGGUGAAAACCAACAAUAUAUGAUUGAAAAGACUUUAAACUGAAAUUAGGUAGGGACUGCGCGAACGCAAGUCACCGCUGCCACAAAUUAUGACGUAGGCUCUCCUACUUGAGGAGACCUUAGACGGGCACCCCUCCUAAGUGCAAUGGAGGUCACCAACCUAAGCCAUGGGCCUUCUUGAUCACCCAUUGACCCCGUCCAGCUGAUGUGAGACUAUCUAGCUUCUCAAGGGUUUUUAUGUUCCUUCUAUCUCUAUGAACCUGUGGUUUCUCCCUUUGGAUUACGGUAUCUCUUUCACUGAACAAAUGGUGAGGCUAAUUCUUUUCUUCUCAAAACAUAAGGUUUUUGGCAGAUCAAAGUACGUACCUGUAGUUGGAGUGUUAGACAUGUAUGAGAAUUUUGAAGCUAGGAAACUGGGAAAGGUGCUGCUUCAUUUUCUUAUUAACAAUAUUGUUUAUCGCAAGAAAACACAUGGGAAGUGAGUUAAGAACAAAGAUUCAGAACAAGCCUCAGAUAUUUAUCAAAAGUAAGCCUCCUGCCAAAAACAUAAAUAAAUAAAUAAAUGAAAGGAGGUAGCAGAAUCAAACUUCGUAAAGGAAGAUAUCGUCUUCCUCCGGUGUUUAAAUUUUAAUAAUAAUUGCGUUCACUCUUUCACUUCAAGUGUUCCAUAAACUAUUAAACUAUGUUGAUUUUUGUUGAAUACUAUUACAUGCUGAUGCUGGUUGAGGCUUUGGGACUGGUUCAAAUCGAUUUGGAACAUUUCCCCAGUCAAGAUGAUUUUCCAUAGAGACUCUGGAUGUUAAGUCAGGCGUGAUGCUUCCAUGUGUUGAAGUUUGAAUCUUCCAACUUCUCAGCAAUAGGAAGUAAAGUUUGUUUGGUAGAAGAUGAGGUUGAGAGAAUGAAGGCUACGGUCAAGAUCUUGAUUCUUUGGCUCUGAUAGCAUAAGAUGUUUUGAGCAAAAUCAGAGAAAAGUAAAGAAUUGAGACUGAAUAUCAAUUGCACUCUAUGCAGAGAAUGAAUAAUGUGAACACAAGGCCAAGUACCUCUGCAUUAUAUAGAUGCAGAGCCAUGCAUACUACUAAUAUGUGACUGCAGUAAUGACCUCAACAAACACUUCUUGAUCUUGAUUUUCUAACUACUGCUACCCUACUUCACUUAUAUUUAUAUCACUUACACAAAUGAAUCAACAUCCAUCACUACUGUAAUUUGUGCUUGUGUGACAUUUCAAUUCACCUUGACCUUAUACUUUAUAGAUGGUAUGUGGAUUCCUUCCUAACUAUGACGGAUUAACUACGAGUGAUUGCAUCGUUGAAGCUCCUUGGGUUGCAAAGAAUCCAAUACACAGUUAGUCUUGUAAAAUUAUUCACUUAUUCUAUGUAUAUGGCUGCACAUCUAACAUUAUGAAUACAUUGCCCAAUACCAGACUUGUUUAUUCCUGUUACCUCCA